This is a long non-coding RNA of Homo sapiens (human), 3170 nucleotides long. The record is from Ensembl. Lineage: Eukaryota; Metazoa; Chordata; Mammalia; Primates; Hominidae.
AAUGUGUAGUCUUCUCUCUCUCACCCCCUUUCACCCUUCCCCCCAAGUCACCAGAGUCCAUUGUAUUAGUCUUAUUUUCAUCACCGUGGGCGUACCCUGUGGGAUGAUGUUAAACGUACUCUAGACUCUGUUGGCUAUUUCUCUAGAGUUAGACCUCUGGAGACUUCUCAGAUAGCUCAUGGGUCUCUGGCCUUGCCCUGAAAUUACUGGGUUCUCAGGGAGAUGCUGGAGAUGGCGGAGGCUCCUCACUCUUUGGGUCCUCCUGUGGCUCAUUUUGAUUGAGUUCCUCAUUCAGCUGGUCGCAGUGGCCGGAUAGUGUGGCCUGCUCCCUUCCUCAGGUUUUCUUGAGGCAGUGGUCUUUUUUGUAGAGGCUUUUUUUUUUUUUUUUUUUCCCUGGAACUCCCUUGGAGGUCUCCCUUCCCUUUCAAGGUUGUCUUGGGAACCUUGAUAGUGCUUCUGGACCUAGGUUGAGACAGGGCCUUUCUCUUCAUUACUUCUUGGGUAUUGGUGGGUGGGUGGUUGACAGCUAGGCUGGAGGCUCAUGGUUUCCUGGUUAUUUUCACCAGCAUCUCUCAACAGUCUCAGCUCGCUCAUUCUUAAGAUGUCAGCUUAAAUGUUAUCUCUUCAGAGGCCCCCAUGUUCUCUCUUGCAAUGGCCUGUUCUAUUCCAUUAGGGGACUUUGCCAUAUAUGGCAUAUUUGUGUAAAAGUUCCAUGAGAGCAGAGGUUUUGUUUCCUUUAUCCCUCCAUACACAGCAACUGGAACAAUACAAUGCAUAGAGUAAACAUGCAACAGAUAACCUGAAGGAAUGCUGUUUCAUGCCUUCAUUCCUUCCUAUACAUUAUUGCUCCCCUAAUGUUCUCUGUGUUUGGACUGCCAUAACCUCAUCUACCUUUUCUCCUUACUACCUUCUCAUUCUUCAAAAUUCAGCUCAUCCCCAAAUUCCUCUGAGAAGUCCUUCAGGUUGUUCCUCUCCAUCUAAUCUGAAUAAGAUGUCCUUUCUUGGAGCUCUAAUAGCGUUUAGACUAGACACUGGUCCUCAGAGUGAGGUUUCUGCAUGGACAGCAUCACCGUCAUCUGGGAAUUCAUUAGAAAUGCAAAUUAUGAGGCCCUACCCUAGACCUCCUGAAACAGAAACUCUGGGAGUGGGGCCAACAACCUGCGUUUUAACAAGCCCUGCAGGUGACUGUGACGAACACAAAGUUUGAGGACCACUAGAAUAUAGUCACUGUAGAAUAUAUCUCCAGGAUCUGACACAACGCCUAGAGCAGGAUUAUUGUGAAGAUCGACCUGAAAUCUAUCUUCCUGUAGCCUCAUCAAUCCUGGUUGAGAAUAUGAAAAACUAGUUGAGUUGCAUCUCUGUUAGGCAGCUUUACAACAUUUGAGGAUAGCGAUUAUCUCUACUUCUCCACCUCUCAUCCCUAGCUCCUCUGGUUUAAUGUCUUUUUUUUCUUAUGUGCUAUAACUUUGAAUCCCUUCACUUUCUUCCUUGGACUUACCUGGACAAUUCCAACUUACUUCAUAUCCAUCUUAAGUGUAUAUUCAAAAUAUCCUUUUAGCUUUUAACCUACAAUUCUGAAAGGUGGAACUAUACAUGUCUGUAAUCACCCCAGCAAGACAGAGUUCACAAUGAACAUAGUUAGAAUUCCAUUUGUACAGUUGGAGGUGUUCCUAGGUGGGCGGAUUGCUUGAGGUCAGGAGUUCAAGACCAGUCUGGCCAACAUGACGAAACCCCGUCUCUACUAAAAAUACAAAAUUCAGCCAGGUAUGGUGGCAUACGCCUGUAAUCCUAGCUACUUGGGAGGCUGAGGCAUGAGAAUCAAUUGAACCCGGUAGAGGCGGAGGUUGCAGUGAGCCGAGAUCGCGCCACUGCACUCCAGCCUAGGUGACAGAGGGAGACUCUGCCUCAAAAACAAACCAUCCCUGUCGCUCCCAUCCUAGACCAAUCUAAUUGCAAGUAUCUCACAGGGAGCCCAAGUAUCAAUGUUUUUUUGAACAGCUUUAUGGAGGUAUAAUCUAUAUACCAUAAAAUCCACUUAUUUUAAUAUAUGAUUUUAGUAAAUUUAAAGACUUGUGCAGCCCUUACCACAUCAUACAAACCAGAAUGUUUCCAUCACCCAAAAAGAAACUUCAUGUCUAUUUAGUCACUCCCUGUUUCUACUCCCAGCUCUAGGUGGCCAUUAAUCUGAGUAUCUCUAGAUUUGUCUUUUCUAGACCUAAACAUCAGGUUUUUGUUUUUCUGCAGCCAGAGUUGAGAACCAUAAUUCUAAAUGCAUUAUGAGAAAUAAUGGUUUUUAAAGAUUAUAUAUAAUAUUUUACGUAUUUUCAUAUUUAUGACUCCCAUCCUUACAGUGAAUGCGUCUAUCACCAGUAAGACAAAGAUCAUUAAUUUGAUAAUGGAACUUAACAGACCAUUCUUUCCUUUUAUACAUUUUAGUAUCAUAUUCAAAAUGGCCUCCCAUUCUGUCCCCAAGUUAUUUUAAAACAUCUCCAGUCUUGCUUUUUUCCCCUUUAGCUCAUAAAUGAAUAGUGCUGGAAGAUAUCUCAGGAGCAUUCUCCCUGAGAUGAUGUCUUCAGUAAUGAUCGCACGUAUUGGUGUUGAUUCCAUCCUUGAAGUUACUUUCCUUUAUCUUUCACAGUGGUGUUUCUUCACUAGAGGUUUUGCUGUCUGAUUAACUUCUCUGCCAAAUAAAUGGACUUUUGCUUCAUAGGUACACAAACAUUUCUAAAACUUUUUUUGGAAAAUAUAUUUCUUUCUUAAAAAAACAAAUAGUGCAUGCACAUUUUUAAAAAAAUAAAUAAAAAAUAAUCUACCCCAAAAUGACCAGUUAAGAUUUACUUUCAGACAACUCUGUGCAUAUUUACAUAUGCUUAUAUACAACUAUGUACACCUUUGCAUAGAUGAGAUCACACUCUAUGUACUGCUUUGUAACUUGCUUCUUUCACUUAAUCCUGAGAACAUUUGUACAUGACCAUAGAUAUAGAUUUGUAUUGUUUUUAAUGGCUGUAUAGUUUUGCAUUAUACUGAAUCUUGAUGUUUAAGAGCUAUGUAUAUUGAGGACAUUAUUUCUUUGUCUUGUGUUGCAAAUUUUUUACCAUGUUAUUAUUAGUCUUUUAACCUUAUUUAUAGUUUUUUUGUUAUAAAAGUUAAGUUUUAUGAUGUAAACUUAA